This 468-nucleotide ribosomal RNA is filed under the name uncultured bacterium. Its description in RNAcentral is "partial 16S ribosomal RNA". It matches the Rfam family "Bacterial small subunit ribosomal RNA", at positions 28 to 507 of the family's 1533-position model. The record is from RNAcentral.
GACGAACGCUGGCGGCGUGCUUAACACAUGCAAGUCGAACGGAAAGGCCCUGCUUUUGUGGGGUGCUCGAGUGGCGAACGGGUGAGUAACACGUGAGUAACUUGCCCUUGACUUUGGGAUAACUUCAGGAAACUGGGGCUAAUACCGGAUAGGAGCUCCUGCUGCAUGGUGGGGGUUGGAAAGUUUCGGCGGUUGGGGAUGGACUCGCGGCUUAUCAGCUUGUUGGUGGGGUAGUGGCUUACCAAGGCUUUGACGGGUAGCCGGCCUGAGAGGGUGACCGGCCACAUUGGGACUGAGAUACGGCCCAGACUCCUACGGGAGGCAGCGGUGGGGAAUAUUGCACAAUGGGCGGAAGCCUGAUGCAGCAACGCCGCGUGCGGGAUGACGGCCUUCGGGUUGUAAACCGCUUUCGCCUGUGACGAAGCGUGAGUGACGGUAAUGGGUAAAGAAGCACCGGCUAACUACGUG